CCAGGUGCCCACGCCCGUAGUGCUGCAGUGCUGCUGCUGCUGCUGCCACCGCCGCCGCCUACUACCUGAGUGCCUGAUCGCCGGCUGAUCCAAUCGACCAAUCAGGUAAUCCUGCAAUCCAAAGAGGCAAGCGAGCAAGGCCAGACGUCCAGACUGACAGACUCCUGUCUCUAGAGAAGAUUGAUCCUGAACUACUAGAAGAGCAGCAAGAUUUCUCACGAGAAAUUUCAGCGUCCAUGAAGGAGAAGAGCAUGGAGUGUUUACUUUCAGUGAUAAACAUUGGACUUCACUGCACUAAGGCAUCACCAAAUGAGCGCAUGGGCAUGCAGGAAGUGGCUGCAAAGCUGCAUGGAAUUAAGGAGGCAUAUCUGAAGCUAAACUUCGGUUUUGUAGGAGGUCUGAACAGAACAAAUCCAAGGCUCCGUAAGUUGACUUCCAAUGGCGACAACGGAGUAUCAAAUACUGGCUCACGCUCUGGGUGGCACUCGCUCUAUCUGAUCCCAAAAAGAAAAUUAUCAUCCUAAUCGUUGCUCAGUGUGCAUGUGUGAAACCUCAGCAUGUGAGAUGUCGACCGUGUAGUAGUCCUUAAUUGCGUUCACUUUGUGACUUGUGACUGUUUAUUUCGCCAUGUAUACUA
Molecule: long non-coding RNA, 637 nt
Organism: Panicum hallii
Lineage: Eukaryota; Viridiplantae; Streptophyta; Magnoliopsida; Poales; Poaceae
Exons: 3
Source: RefSeq, a predicted model, not a curated record